CCUACGGGUGGCAGCAGUGGGGAAUAUUGGACAAUGGGCGAAAGCCUGAUCCAGCCAUGCCGCGUGUGUGAAGAAGGCCUUCGGGUUGUAAAGCACUUUCAGUGGGGAAGAAAGCCUUGGGGCUAAUACCCUCGAGGAAGGACAUCACCCACAGAAGGAGCACCGGCUAACUCCGUGCCAGCAGCCGCGGUAAUACGGAGGGUGCGAGCGUUAAUCGGAAUUACUGGGCGUAAAGCGCGCGUAGGCGGUCUGAUAAGCCGGUUGUGAAAGCCCCGGGCUCAACCUGGGAACGGCAUCCGGAACUGUCAGGCUAGAGUGCAGGAGAGGAAGGUAGAACUCCCGGUGUAGCGGUGAAAUGCGUAGAGAUCGGGAGGAAUACCAGUGGCGAAGGCGGCCUUCUGGACUGACACUGACGCUGAGGUGCGAAAGCGUGGGUAGCAAACAGGAUUAGAUACCCGUGUAGUC
Molecule: ribosomal RNA, 465 nt
Filed under: Vreelandella stevensii
Lineage: Bacteria; Pseudomonadati; Pseudomonadota; Gammaproteobacteria; Oceanospirillales; Halomonadaceae
Description: partial 16S ribosomal RNA
Rfam family: Bacterial small subunit ribosomal RNA
Source: RNAcentral